Molecule: ribosomal RNA, 254 nt
Filed under: uncultured bacterium
Lineage: Bacteria
Description: partial 16S ribosomal RNA
Rfam family: Bacterial small subunit ribosomal RNA
Source: RNAcentral
CACGUAGGGUGCGAGCGUUGUCCGGAAUUAUUGGGCGUAAAGAGCUCGUAGGCGGUGUGUCGCGUCGGCCGUGAAAACCUGUGGCUUAACUGCGGGCUUGCGGUCGAUACGGGCAUCACUGGAGUUCGGCAGGGGAGACUGGAAUUCCUGGUGUAGCGGUGAAAUGCGCAGAUAUCAGGAGGAACACCGGUGGCGAAGGCGGGUCUCUGGGCCGAUACUGACGCUGAGGCGCGAAAGCCAGGGGAGCAAACGGG